RNAcentral lists this ribosomal RNA (468 nucleotides) under uncultured bacterium. Its description in RNAcentral is "partial 16S ribosomal RNA". It matches the Rfam family "Bacterial small subunit ribosomal RNA", at positions 28 to 507 of the family's 1533-position model. The record is from RNAcentral.
GACGAACGCUGGCGGCGUGCUUAACACAUGCAAGUCGAACGGAAAGGCCCUGCUUUUGUGGGGUGCUCGAGUGGCGAACGGGUGAGUAACACGUGAGUAACCUGCCCUUGACUUUGGGAUAACUUCAGGAAACUGGGGCUAAUACCGGAUAGGAUCUCCUGCUGCAUGGUGGGGGUUGGAACGUUUCGGCGGUUGGGGAUGGACUCGCGGCUUAUCAGCUUGUUGGUGGGGGAGUGGCUUACCAAGGCUUUGACGGGUAGCCGGCCUGAGAGGGUGACCGGCGACAUUGGGACUGAGAUACGGCGCAGACUCCUACGGGAGGCAGCAGUGGGGAAUAUUGCACAAUGGGCGGAAGCCUGAUGCAGAAACGCCGCGUGCGGGAUGACGGCCUGCGGGUUGUAAACCGCUGUCGCCUGUGACGAAGCGUGAGUGACGGUAAUGGGUAAAGAAGCACCGGCUAACUACGUG